Molecule: unclassified non-coding RNA, 404 nt
Filed under: soil metagenome
Description: partial contains 5.8S ribosomal RNA, internal transcribed spacer 2, and large subunit ribosomal RNA
Rfam family: 5.8S ribosomal RNA (bases 1-122)
Source: RNAcentral
GAUGAAGAACGUAGCAAAAUGCGAUACUUGGUGUGAAUUGCAGAAUCCCGUGAACCAUCGAGUUUUUGAACGCAAGUUGCGCCCGAAGCCUUUUGGCCGAGGGCACGUCUGCCUGGGCGUCACGCAUCGCGUCGCCCCCCACAAUUCUCCGUAAAGGGCACAUGUGUUUUGGGGGCGGAUAUUGGUCUCCCGUGCUCAUGGCGUGGUUGGCCGAAAUAGGAGUCCUUUCGAUGGACGCACGAACUAGUGGUGGUCGUAAAAACCCUCGUCUUUUGUUUCGUGCUGUUGCUCGCAAGGUAAACUCUUUAAAAACCCCAAUGUGUCGUCUCUUGACGACGCUUCGACCGCGACCCCAGGUCAGGCGGGACUACCCGCUGAGUUUAAGCAUGUCAAUAAGCGGAGGA